Molecule: non-coding RNA, 72 nt
Organism: Candidatus Staskawiczbacteria bacterium
Lineage: Bacteria; Candidatus Staskawicziibacteriota
Source: Rfam
GGACGGCUAGCUCAACGGCAGAGCAUCGCGUUUACAUCGCGGAGGUUAUAGGUUCGAAUCCUAUGCCGUUCA